GAAUAUUGGACAAUGGGGGGAACCCUGAUCCAGCCAUGCCGCGUGGGUGAAGAAGGCAUUAUGGUUGUAAAGCACUUUAAGCGCGGGGGCGGCUACUCGAGAUAAGACCUAGAGAUAGUGGACGUUACUCGCAGAAUAAGCACCGGCUAACUCUGGUCCAGCAGCCGCGGUAAUGCAGAGGGUGCAAGUGUUAAUCGGAUUUACUGGGCGUAAAGCGCGCGUAGGUUGCCAAUUACGUCAAAUGUGCAAUCCCCUAGCUUAACUUGUGAAUUGCAUUCGAUACUGGUUGGCUAGAUUAGGGGAGAGGAUGGUAGAAUUCCAGGUGUAGCGGUGAAAUGCGUAGAGAUCUGGAGGAAUACCGAUGGCGAAGGCAGCCAUCUGGCCUAAUACUGACACUGAGGUGCGAAAGCAUGGGGAGCAAAC
RNAcentral lists this ribosomal RNA (423 nucleotides) under uncultured bacterium. RNAcentral's name for it is "partial 16S ribosomal RNA". It matches the Rfam family "Bacterial small subunit ribosomal RNA", at positions 359 to 773 of the family's 1533-position model. The record is from RNAcentral.